Molecule: ribosomal RNA, 376 nt
Filed under: uncultured bacterium
Lineage: Bacteria
Description: bacterial SSU rRNA
Rfam family: Bacterial small subunit ribosomal RNA
Source: RNAcentral
UACAGAGACUGCAAGCGUUAUUCGGAUUCACUGGGCGUAAAGGGUGCGCAGGCGGCCGUGUGUGUAAGGUGUGAAAUCCCGGGGCUCAACCCCGGAACUGCGCCUUAAACUAUAUGGCUAGAGUAUUGGAGAGGGUAGUGGAAUUCACGGUGUAGCAGUGAAAUGCGUAGAUAUCGUGAGGAACACCAGAGGCGAAGGCGACUACCUGGACAAUUACUGACGCUCAGGCACGAAAGCGUGGGGAGCAAAAGGGAUUAGAUACCCCUGUAGUCCACGCCCUAAACGGUGCACACUAGGUCUUGGCGGAUUCGACCCCACCAGGGCCCAAGCUAACGCGUUAAGUGUGCCGCCUGAGGACUACGGCCGCAAGGCUAAA